Molecule: ribosomal RNA, 467 nt
Filed under: uncultured bacterium
Lineage: Bacteria
Description: partial 16S ribosomal RNA
Rfam family: Bacterial small subunit ribosomal RNA
Source: RNAcentral
ACGAACGCUGGCGGCGUGCUUCACACAUGCAGGUCGAACGGAAAGGCCCUGCUUUUGUGGGGUGCUCGAGUGGCGAACGGGUGAGUAACACGUGAGUAACCUGCCCUUGACUUUGGGAUAACUUCAGGAAACUGGGGCUAAUACCGGAUAGGAGCUCCUGCUGCAUGGUGGGGGUUGGAAAGUUUCGGCGGUUGGGGAUGGACUCGCGGCUUAUCAGCUUGUUGGUGGGGUAGUGGCUUACCAAGGCUUUGACGGGUAGCCGGCCUGAGAGGGUGACCGGCCACAUUGGGACUGAGGUACGGCCCAGACUCCUACGGGAGGCAGCAGUGGGGAAUAUUGCACAAUGGGCGGAAGCCUGAUGCAGCAACGCCGCGUGCGGGAUGACGGCCUUCGGGUUGUAAACCGCUUUCGCCUGUGACGAAGCGUGAGUGACGGUAAUGGGUAAAGAAGCACCGGCUAACUACGUG